Molecule: long non-coding RNA, 3256 nt
Organism: Salvia splendens (bonfire salvia)
Lineage: Eukaryota; Viridiplantae; Streptophyta; Magnoliopsida; Lamiales; Lamiaceae
Exons: 20
Source: RefSeq, a predicted model, not a curated record
UAAUGCACAACAUAUUGUGCUGUUUUUUUAUAGAAAUAUUCGUUCCCUUCAACACACGCAUCAAGGAAUUAAUCCCAGCCCAAAUAAAUUACCCUUUCUAUCUAAAAUUCUUUUUUGAUUUGAAUUCCCCCAAAUUAGAAUUCCCGUUAGAAAAAAAGCAUCACUCCCAUUAACCGCCUCACUGUCUAGUCUCGAUUUCUCCGGCUGCGACGACGCCUCCGAUUCCGGCUGCUCAUCGUGGCUCCAGGCGCCGCCGACGUCGAAGCAAUCUCCGUUCCCAGCGGCGCGUUACUGAGUGGUAGUGUUGGGGGCGAAGUUGUAGUUUGUGAUAAUGCGUGCAAAUUAAGCAACAAAAAAUGGGUGUAGGUGAUUAGGUGUAGUGUUUAUUUAAAUCGACGAGGCGGGAUACACGUCACCGUAGACCUCCUCACGGACUCACCGUCUGAUUUCGGUGCCACCGAUUCUCUCUGAGCGGCUCUCCAGAAUCCACCAAGCAGUCGUUGCAGCGGUGGACUGCCGUGGACUUCUCGGCCUAACUAAGUUAUCGGAAGUCAAACUGUAUUAUCUAUCAUCGUAUCAAGCAGACGACACUGGUCUAAUUUUUAUAUUGCUUGAUGAUGUGAAGAUAUCAGAACAACUGAUUGACCUGGUCUUCUAUCUGCUAGUUCUACUUGGUCCAUACAGAGAUGAAUCUCACACCAUACCCAAUGGCAUGGUUCUUCUUCAUUCGGCUCUGGUAGCUUGUAUUAUAAAAUUGUUUCUCCACACUACCAAGAGGUUGCUCAAGCAUUGACUGCAUAUUACAAGGUAGCAAUCCAGGAUUUGGUGAAAACUAAGAAUAUUAAAUUACUUGUUUAAUGGUGGACAUAUUCAUAGAGGCAGAAUUUGCUGCUGUUUGUGUAGAUGUCAAGUUUCUGCAGACCAACGAUUCAUUUGGAAGUGCUUUCCCUACUACUGAAGAGACCUUGAAUCACCUCUGCCAGAGUGUGAUUCUUCUCUUCAAUUUCUACAGUCUUUGUGUCAGCAAAAGUUGUUCCCGGAAUGCAUUGUGAAUAACAAGAUUUUAUCCUUUCAUCUGAUUAGAGUUUUCACUGCCUGAAAGCAUUGACAUUUCUUUAAAAUGUCAAAUGUGGUGAAUACAUGUUUCUGCUCCAGGGAACUUGAGCUGGAAUUUCUAUUUUGUAUACAUGUUUCUGCUCCAGGGACUCCAUUUAUUUCUGUCCAAGUGAGAUAGUAAGAGAUUCCAUAAUCAGCUUGAUUUGCUUAUGUGGCUGCAGCUUUAUCUGAUGCAUGUUGAUCUGUUGCACCUUUGUGAAGCUGAAAGUGUAUCCUACCUGGAAGAGGUGACCAGCAAAACAUCAACUCAGGAUGUGGCAAAGUCUGUUGGACUCAAGGUUCUUGCGUUGCUAAAAAAAAUGUUUAAUGCUCCCUCUUAGGCAAGCUACCCGAGGGGCAACUGGAACUUAAUGCAAUGCGCUUGGCAGAUGUCUUGUCAGAUGAUUCAAAUUUUCUGUCAUUCAUCAUGAUAAACUUUAUGAGAAGGAUCUGUCAACAAGCUCGUUCGGUUCUUAUGGAAGGACUAUCAGAAACUGUCAGAUGGAUUCUUCUCUCUACUUCAAAGCUGACAAAGUUCACUAUUAAGUCAUGAUUUUUGAAUGAAGAUGAUGUACAACUGCUGAGGUAAUUUCAAUAUAGGUAAUCUUCUUCGUGGGUUAUUUAUAAGUCAUUUUGUGUCCCGGAUCGUUCGUGCUGCAUCUGAAGAUCAUUUAGUCCAUGACUAGCUUCGUAUAUUGGACUCUCGGCCCAGAUGAAAAAAAGAGUAGCCCAAUGCUACAUUUUUUCCGGAAUAAGCUUCAUAAAAAAGGAGUUUUAAUGCAGAAAAGGAAGGUAGGAAGGUAGUUUUACAAGCAAGUAGUUUUCCCGUACGUAUUCGAGGAUUCUGGUAACUCUACAUCAAAUCCUAGUCUUUGAGGAUUCUGGCUUCAGCAUCAGAAGCUCAGGACUAGAUAUCUUUUUAUUAUAAAUAACUUGUCCACUGCAAAUGUUGAGGCUAAAGCUAAAGAGUUUAUUGAAAUUUUGAAUUUUAUACUAUCCGUCCAUGUUUGGAACAGGCUCCAGCAUCAGAAGCUCAGGACUAGAUAUCUGGUUUGCGUUGUAUAUAGUUAUGGAGAGGGAGAGAUUUAGCUUAACUUGUCCACUGCAAAUGUUGAGGCUAAAGCUAAAGAGUUUAUUGAAAUUUUGAAUUUUAUACUAUCCGUCCAUGUUUGGAACAGGCUCCAGCAUCAGAAGCUCAGGACUAGAUAUCUGGUUUGCGUUGUAUAUAGUUAUGGAGAGGGAGAGAUUUAGCUUGACACUACAUUCCUUACCUUAAAUAGUUCUCUGGAUGCAAUAUCUCUGUUCUCUGAACAGAGAUAUUGUGCAAGCCAUUUAUGUAAACUGCAAGGUUUGAUUUUUCUACUUACUUUAUUCAUUUUGGAAAGGCGGUUUUUAUUCUUGGUAUUUGUACUAUGUCUAGGUUCUGUUUUAAACAGAACUUGUAAAAUCUAGUGUGGAAGAACUAUCACUGCUGAAAAUUUAGCAAGCUGGCUUGGGAAGAUUACUAUUGGAAAAAAUCAAGUUCUAAGGGAACGAGUGAUAGAUUCUUCUUUUCGUCUGUUUUAUUUUUGAGUUUACUUCAUAAACUUGGAGCUGGGUUGUCUGAAAUCCUCAUGUUGCAAUAAAUAUUAUUAUCUCAUCUUCUUGAUUCAAAAUUUUUUCUGACACAUGGAAGUAUAUUAUUUGUUGAAUGCUUUUAAGGGACUCAGGAUGCCUGUUAAUCGUUUUACCUCAAAGAUUUUCAAAGCCUGUUCAAACAGCAUUGCAUACGGGCCUCCUCACCGUUGGGCAGUGGUUCUGUUUAAGCAUUUAAGUGUUGACCUCAAGUGACCUCAAGGAUGUCACACCCUCUUCUCUUCUAAAGGAUGUAGUUUGACAAUUUGAAGGAUCAGUCAUUAAGCAUCAACCUUUUACUCACCUUAUGCUGGGCAUUGCUUUACAAGCUAUUUCAGUUGCUCAUACUGAACCUGAUGUUGGCCAUAGUUCCAAUACUAAUCACCGACCCGGUCUUAUUCAAUCUUCUGCUCCACAGAUUGAGAUUGCAGGCUCUGGAUUAGCAAUUCCCUCUUUGAUCCCACUACAACAGAGACCACCAAGUUCUCUAGAUGAGAGUGGACUCCUAAUUUCAUGAAGCCAACACAAUACACCUACCCUUCCCUAG